UAGGGAAUUUUCGGCAAUGGACGAAAGUCUGACCGAGCAAUGCCGCGUGAACGAAGAAGUAUUUCGGUAUGUAAAGUUCUUUUAUUAGGGACGAAAAAACAAAUUGACGGUACCUAAUGAAUAAGCUCCGGCUAACUACGUGCCAGCAGCCGCGGUAAUACGUAGGGAGCGAGCGUUAUCCGGAAUUAUUGGGCGUAAAGGGUGCGUAGAUGGCACAUUAAGUUUUCUGUAAAAAUGCUAGGCUCAACCUAGUAGGGCAGAAAAUACUGAUGAGCUAGAGUACGACAGAGGCAAGUGGAACUCCAUGUGUAGCGGUAAAAUGCGUAGAGAUCGGUAGGAACACCAGUGGCGAAGGCGGCUUUCUGGACUGAAACUGACGCUGAGGCGCGAAAGCGUGGGGAGCAAACAGGAUUAGAUACCCUGGUAGU
RNAcentral lists this ribosomal RNA (428 nucleotides) under uncultured Anaeroplasma sp. RNAcentral describes it as "bacterial SSU rRNA". It matches the Rfam family "Bacterial small subunit ribosomal RNA", at positions 355 to 794 of the family's 1533-position model. The record is from RNAcentral. Lineage: Bacteria; Bacillati; Mycoplasmatota; Mollicutes; Anaeroplasmatales; Anaeroplasmataceae.